Molecule: ribosomal RNA, 498 nt
Filed under: uncultured bacterium
Lineage: Bacteria
Description: partial 16S ribosomal RNA
Rfam family: Bacterial small subunit ribosomal RNA
Source: RNAcentral
AUUGAACGCUGGCGGCAUGCCUUACACAUGCAAGUCGAACGGUAACAGGUCUUCGGAUGCUGACGAGUGGCGAACGGGUGAGUAAUACAUCGGAACGUGCCUAGUAGUGGGGGAUAACUACUCGAAAGAGAGGCUAAUACCGCAUGAGAUCUACGGAUGAAAGCAGGGGAUCGCAAGACCUUGUGCUACUAGAGCGGCCGAUGGCAGAUUAGGUAGUUGGUGGGAUAAAAGCUUACCAAGCCGACGAUUUGUAGCUGGUCUGAGAGGACGAUCAGCCACACUGGGACUGAGACGCGGCCCAGACUCCUACGGGAGGCAGCAGUGGGGAAUUUUGGACAAUGGGCGAAAGCCUGAUCCAGCAAUGCCGCGUGCAGGAUGAAGGCCUUCGGGUUGUAAACUGCUUUUGUACGGAACGAAAAGCCCCGGGUUAAUACCCUGGGGUCAUGACGGUACCGUAAGAAUAAGCACCGGCUAACUACGUGCCAGCCGCCGCCGUAA